This 618-nucleotide ribosomal RNA is filed under the name uncultured Pseudomonas sp. Its description in RNAcentral is "bacterial SSU rRNA". It matches the Rfam family "Bacterial small subunit ribosomal RNA", at positions 85 to 699 of the family's 1533-position model. The record is from RNAcentral. Lineage: Bacteria; Pseudomonadati; Pseudomonadota; Gammaproteobacteria; Pseudomonadales; Pseudomonadaceae.
UCUCUUGAGAGCGGCGGACGGGUGAGUAAAGCCUAGGAAUCUGCCUGGUAGUGGGGGAUAACGUUCGGAAACGGACGCUAAUACCGCAUACGUCCUUCGGGAGAAAGCAGGGGACCUUCGGGCCUUGCGCUAUCAGAUGAGCCUAGGUCGGAUUAGCUAGUUGGUGAGGUAAUGGCUCACCAAGGCGACGAUCCGUAACUGGUCUGAGAGGAUGAUCAGUCACACUGGAACUGAGACACGGUCCAGACUCCUACGGGAGGCAGCAGUGGGGAAUAUUGGACAAUGGGCGAAAGCCUGAUCCAGCCAUGCCGCGUGUGUGAAGAAGGUCUUCGGAUUGUAAAGCACUUUAAGUUGGGAGGAAGGGCAUUAACCUAAUACGUUAGUGUUUUGACGUUACCGACAGAAUAAGCACCGGCUAACUCUGUGCCAGCAGCCGCGGUAAUACAGAGGGUGCAAGCGUUAAUCGGAAUUACUGGGCGUAAAGCGCGCGUAGGUGGUUUGUUAAGUUGGAUGUGAAAUCCCCGGGCUCAACCUGGGAACUGCAUUCAAAACUGACUGACUAGAGUAUGGUAGAGGGUGGUGGAAUUUCCUGUGUAGCGGUGAAAUGCGUAGAUAUAG